CAGCAGUCGCCGCGGGAAUACAGAGGGUGCGAGCGUUAAUCGGAUUUACUGGGCGUAAAGCGUGCGUAGGCGGCUUCUUAAGUCGGAUGUGAAAUCCCUGAGCUUAACUUAGGAAUUGCAUUCGAUACUGGGAAGCUAUAGUAUGGGAGAGGAUGGUAGAAUUCCAGGUGUAGCGGUGAAAUGCGUAGAGAUCUGGAGGAAUACCGAUGGCGAAGGCAGCCAUCUGGCCUAAUACUGACGCUGAGGUACGAAAGCAUGGGGAGCAAACAGGAUUAGAUACCCGUGUAGUCCCUGUCUCUUAUAC
This 304-nucleotide ribosomal RNA is filed under the name uncultured bacterium. RNAcentral describes it as "partial 16S ribosomal RNA". It matches the Rfam family "Bacterial small subunit ribosomal RNA", at positions 509 to 807 of the family's 1533-position model. The record is from RNAcentral.